This 643-nucleotide unclassified non-coding RNA is filed under the name Hevea brasiliensis (rubber tree). The record is from RNAcentral. Lineage: Eukaryota; Viridiplantae; Streptophyta; Magnoliopsida; Malpighiales; Euphorbiaceae.
GAGGCCUUCUUCUUUAGCUUCAUUGUCGCCUAUUUUCCUACUCGGCGAAAAGAAAGCUUCUUGUUCUGCUGUGAUAAUGGCGGCAGCGGAAACAUGGGGGGGUUUUUUAGUAGUUUCAAUGAGCCUCGGUGGGAAAUGGGUUGGAGCCCAGGUGCACCAUGUGGUUGGAGAGGAUCGUGGCUGGGACCCUUCAACUGAUGUGGCUUCAUGGUCCUCCGGCAAAACUUUCAGGGUCGGAGACAAAAUUUGGUUCGCAUACUCCGCUGCACAUGGGAGAAUAGCUGAGCUCAAGACUAAGGAGGAAUUCGAGUCAUGUAAUAUCAACAAUCCAAUCAAAAUUUACGAGGAUGGUAUAUUUAGCAUAAUGCUGGAAGGGGAAGGGAUCCGCUAUUUCGUGAGUAGCAACUCUGAGAGCUGUAAGAAGGGACUCAAGCUACCUGUGGAGGUGAUGCCUCCUCAUAAACCACAUGAUACCCCAAAAGUCGCCACAUCAGAAAGCGCAGCCUUGGGUCUUGCUACUGGGCCCACUCCCUCUGGGUCGGCCCAUCUGAGAGCUUGCUUUGUGUUAUUAGUUGCUGGGUAUUGGCUAUUCUAUAUGCUUAUUUAGGGGCGUGUUUGUUUACCAGGUUUAGGCCUAUUGUGG